GAGCAGCGCGGAGUCCGGACCUUUCUGAAGGGCGCUGUAACUAGAGGCGGUGCAGGGAGACAAUUCCUGGAAGCAGGCAGGGAAGUUGGUGGGCGGGGUUGUUUCGGGCAUUCGGGUGGGCGACCCGCAGAGGCGUCUGGAAGGCCCGCGUCUUUAGGGAGCCGGGAGCGUAGGAGCGGCGUCUCUGGUUACAGGGUCGGGCAAAGGGCAAAGGUCGGCCUCCAGUUUGGCGAGUCCCUGCUUCAGAGAAUGGCUGCGUCUGGGGGAUCCGGCAGGCAGUGGCAGGAGGAGGUGGCGGCGGUGGUAGUGGUGGGCUCCUGCAUGACCGACCUGGUCAGAGGCACACAGCGAGUCAGAAGUUUGCAGCCAGAAGAAGAAAGGAUGGCAUGCAAAAACCAAAAAACAAUAUAUUCCUUGACUCUUGGCUAGAGCGUGUAUUAGUAUGACCUCUUCGUUUGAAAGACUUAUCCCUGUUUAACCAGAUCAUUCCAUCGUUUGGUAUGAAUCAUCUCUGAGAAUCUGUAACAAGCACAUCAUUGUCAAGACGUUAAAAGCAAUUGAUAAGUUCUGAUAACGCCUGUCAGUGAAAGAACUCAGAGCACAGAACCCAGGCAUUGAAGGAGUUGACAAGUAUUAUUAAACCUAUUUUGCAAGAGAAGAAGCUGGUUCAAGGAGGGAAAAGCUGUCAAGGGUAAUAUAAUCAGUAAGUGGUUCAGGCCUCCUGCCUUGCACAACCAGGCUUUAACCACAACAGGGCUUCAUGGCCCUGAAGACUAUGGGGCCAUCUGUGAAUGUUUUAUCAGUGUUUCCUUCUGUCCAGUUUAAAAUGCGUGACAUUUUUAACACUACAAAUUUCUUCUAAAUUCAGAUAGGUUUCUUAUGAUUGGUUUUCUCUGGAUUUUCUCCCUCGUUCAGAAAUUUACACUAUUUUUAAUUUUUAAAUGGUAGCAAGAGUAUUUCUAUCAGUACUCCUUCCUCUUUUUUUCUUGCAACACUUUAAUUUCUUUGGCACCCUCUAAACUUCGUCUUUGAAUUGGGGUGAAUCAUAGCAAUGCUUUCAUUGAGGAGAUGACGCUCUGUGCAGGUCCUUUCAUGAACUCUGAUUUCAUGAUUUUAAUAAGGAAAAAGAUAGGAAAGCCUGAUUCAAAGUAAAUCUGGAUUUGUAAUUUGGAAAUGCUCCUGCCUGUUUGUAACUAACUUUCUAGUGGAUCUCCACUUCUACUUUCUGCUGUGUGAUUCAUUUACUUUAAAAAAAUAAAUAAGCAGUAAACUGUCUUUGUCUGGGUUCAAAAAAAAGAGUGUAAGACAAAGACUUCAGUGCACCUCUUCUAUGCAAGACUGUAAUGCAUGGAGUAAGAGCAAGGGUCAGGGAGGAGGCUGAAGCAGGGAGGCAGCAAGAGCCUGUGCAAGAGAUAAUUGGCGUGUUCAGCUGGUUGCUCAAUCCUGCAGGACAGCCUGAAGAACCAUAACCAAGGAACAGGAACUCGAGUAAGAAGAGCGGCAUCCGGCAAGGCUCUGUUAGGUCACACCUUCAAGAAGGCAGCUGAAGCCCAGGAAGAACUAGUGGCUGGAAAAAGAUAUGAGGGAGGCCAGAUAAGUCUGCAGUUGUAACAAGUGGCUUCCCAUCAUAAUAAAUAUACUCCUGUUGCCUAGACUUCCAAGCAUAAUUAAAUAAAAUAAAAUGUGAACUUCUACUCCUG
Manis javanica (Malayan pangolin) is the source of this 1700-nucleotide non-coding RNA. The record is from RefSeq and is a predicted model, not a curated record. NCBI's taxonomy places the organism in Eukaryota, Metazoa, Chordata, Mammalia, Pholidota, Manidae.